UACGGAGGGUGCGAGCGUUGUCCGGAAUCACUGGGCGUAAAGGGCGCGUAGGCGGCGCGAGCAGUCGAUCGUGAAAGUCCGGAGCUCAACUCCGGAUCGGCGGUCGAUACUCCCGUGCUUGAGCACUGUAGAGGCAGAUGGAAUUCCGGGUGUAGCGGUGGAAUGCGUAGAGAUCCGGAAGAACACCGGUGGCGAAGGCGGUCUGCUGGGCAGUUGCUGACGCUGAUGCGCGAAAGCGUGGGGAGCAAACAGG
Molecule: ribosomal RNA, 253 nt
Filed under: uncultured bacterium
Lineage: Bacteria
Description: partial 16S ribosomal RNA
Rfam family: Bacterial small subunit ribosomal RNA
Source: RNAcentral